RNAcentral lists this ribosomal RNA (293 nucleotides) under uncultured bacterium. RNAcentral describes it as "partial 16S ribosomal RNA". It matches the Rfam family "Archaeal small subunit ribosomal RNA", at positions 455 to 747 of the family's 1478-position model. The record is from RNAcentral.
GUGCCAGCAGCCGCGGUAAUACCGGCAGCCCGAGUGAUGGCCGAUCUUAUUGGGCCUAAAGCGUCCGUAGCUGGCUGCGCAAGUCCGUCGGGAAAUCCACUCGCCCAACGAGUGGGCGUCCGGCGGAAACUGCGCAGCUUGGGACCGGAAGGCUCGAAGGGUACGUUCGGGGUAGGAGUGAAAUCCCAUAAUCCCGCACGGACCACCGAUGGCGAAAGCGCGUCGGGAAGACGGAUCCGACGGUGAGGGACGAAAGCCAGGGUCUCCAACCGGAUUAGAAACCCUGGUAGUCC